RNAcentral lists this ribosomal RNA (1077 nucleotides) under uncultured organism. RNAcentral's name for it is "bacterial SSU rRNA". It matches the Rfam family "Bacterial small subunit ribosomal RNA", at positions 148 to 1262 of the family's 1533-position model. The record is from RNAcentral.
GGGUGGAAACAUCCGCUAAUACCGGAUAGGCUUGUUCGGUCAAAGGGACAAGGAAAGGCUCCGGCGCUCUGGGAGGAGCCUGCGGCCCAUCAGCUAGUUGGCGGGGUAACGGCCCACCAAGGCAAAGACGGGUAGGGGGUGUGAGAGCAUGGCCCCCCACAAUGGGACUGGAACACGGCCCAUACUCCUACGGGGGGCAGCAGCAGGGAAUAUUGCACAAUGGACGGAAGUCUGAUGCAGCGACGCCGCGUGGAUGAAGAAGGCCCUCGGGUUGUAAAAUCCUUUACAGGGGGAAGAGGAAGGACGGUACCCCUGGAACAAGUGUCGGCUAACUACGUGCCAGCAGCCGCGGUAAGACGUAGGACACAAGCGUUAUCCGGAUUUACUGGGCGUAAAGCGUCUGCAGGCGGACAGGUAAGUUGGGCGUGAAAGCUCCGGGCCCAACCCGGAGAGGUCGUUCAAUACUGCGUGUCUAGGGGGUGUCAGAGGGGAGUGGAAUUUCCGGAGUAGCGGUAAAAUACGCAGAGAUCGGAAAGAACACCAAUGGCGAAGGCAGCUCCCUGGGGCAACCCUGACGCUAAGAGACGAAAGCUAGGGGAGCGAACAGGAUUAGAGACCCUGGUAGUCCUAGCCCUAAACGAUGGAUGCUGGAUGUGGGGCCAUAGCGCUCCGUGUCGAAGCGAACGCGUUAAGCAUCCCGCCUGGGGACUACGGCCGCAAGGUUAAAACUCAAACGAAUUGACGGGACCCCGCACAAGCAGCGGAGCGUGUGGUUUAAUUCGAUGCUACACGAAGAACCUUACCUGGGUUUGACAUCUAGGUGGUAGUGAAGCGAAAGCGGAGCGACCCUUCGGGGAGCCUAGACAGGUGCUGCAUGGCUGUCGUCAGCUCGUGCCGUGAGGUGUCGGGUUAAGUCCCGUAACGAGCGCAACCCUUGCCCUCCGUUAUACGUGUCAGAGGGGACUGCCGGCGGUAAGCCGGAGGAAGGUGGGGAUGACGUCAAGUCAGCAUGGCCUUUAUAUCCAGGGCUACACACACGCUACAAUGGCCAGUACAAAGGGCAGCGAAGCCGCGAGG